RNAcentral lists this ribosomal RNA (328 nucleotides) under uncultured bacterium. RNAcentral describes it as "bacterial SSU rRNA". It matches the Rfam family "Bacterial small subunit ribosomal RNA", at positions 568 to 898 of the family's 1533-position model. The record is from RNAcentral.
CGUGUAGGCGGUGCGGUAAGUUGGGCGUGAAAUCCCCGAGCUUAACUCGGGUGGGCCGUUCAAGACUGCCGUGCUAGGGUGCGGGAGAGGGAAGUGGAAUUUCCGGUGUAGUGGUGAAAUGCGUAGAUAUCGGGAGGAACACCUGCGGCGAAGGCGGCUUCCUGGACCGUAACCGACGCUGAGGCGCGAAAGCUAGGGGAGCAAACAGGAUUAGAUACCCUGGUAGUCCUAGCCCUAAACGAUGAGCACUGGGUGUGGCCCCUCACGAGGCCGUGCCGAAGCUAACGCAUUAAGUGCUCCGCCUGGGGAGUACGGUCGCAAGGCUGAA